Long non-coding RNA from Centruroides sculpturatus (bark scorpion), 623 nucleotides. RefSeq lists it as uncharacterized. Lineage: Eukaryota; Metazoa; Arthropoda; Arachnida; Scorpiones; Buthidae. The transcript is spliced from 3 exons. The record is from RefSeq and is a predicted model, not a curated record.
CUUAAACUUACAUACAAUUAAGACGACAUAUCUACUCGAAAGAUGAAUUCUUUAAUUAUAUUUUCAGUGAUUUUCUCUAUUAUUAUAGGAGAUAUUUAUGGAAAGAGUUUCGAUUUCCAACAAUUGUUGAAAUUAUCAACGAUUAAGAAGAGAGCUGAAGAAAAUAUCUUGGAAAAUAUACUGGAUACUGAAUUAGAUUCCACACCAUGCCCCGUUAUUGAAUGUCUGAUAAUAACAGAUAGUGCCUACGCUGCAAGAUUUGAUAACGAAGAAGAAAUUACGAUUAUAUAAAUGAUAUAAUUAGUGGAACACAAAAUACUAUCGAUGAAUUAGAACUUAGUAUAACACUUCGUUUGAUUGGACGUAUCUCGUAUACAGUAAGUUAAACAAAUGUUGAAAAGUACCAUUUAUUUUUCUGUUUUUUGUUUAUGCGUAUUAACAUUUAAGAACGAAACCGAACCGGAAUUCAUUAAAAAGAAUCUGUAUACAGAAAGGCACCGUACCAUCAUUCUUACCGAAGUCACUUAUGAUAUGCGUUAUAUGGAGAAGAUUCCCAUUGUAGAAAAGGCCGAUAUUAUUAUUGUGAUUACUGGGUAAAAAUGAAUAAAAAUUUCUGCUGUAUU